GGUGCUGUGGCUUGGUUGGUCAAAGAGCUUGUCUCCUAAAUAGAAGAUCUUGGGUUCAAAUCCCAGCAGUACCA
Molecule: transfer RNA, 74 nt
Filed under: Xiphophorus maculatus (southern platyfish)
Lineage: Eukaryota; Metazoa; Chordata; Actinopteri; Cyprinodontiformes; Poeciliidae
Rfam family: tRNA
About the family: Transfer RNA (tRNA) molecules are approximately 80 nucleotides in length. Their secondary structure includes four short double-helical elements and three loops (D, anti-codon, and T loops).
Source: Rfam by way of RNAcentral